Schistosoma mattheei is the source of this 45-nucleotide non-coding RNA. The record is from Rfam. NCBI's taxonomy places the organism in Eukaryota, Metazoa, Platyhelminthes, Trematoda, Strigeidida, Schistosomatidae.
AUCUAGUCGACGGGUCUCAAAUAGAACGAAACACGCGUCCUGGAU